This 451-nucleotide ribosomal RNA is filed under the name uncultured bacterium. Its description in RNAcentral is "bacterial SSU rRNA". It matches the Rfam family "Bacterial small subunit ribosomal RNA", at positions 354 to 796 of the family's 1533-position model. The record is from RNAcentral.
GUCGAGGAUCUUUUGCAAUGCGCGAAAGCGUGACAAAGCGACGCUGCGUGGAGGAUGAAGGCCUUCGGGUUGUAAACUCCUGUCAUUAGGGAAAAACGGCGGGCGAGUGAAUAUCCCGCCCGUGUGAUGGUACCUGAAGAGGAAGCCACGGCUAACUCUGUGCCAGCAGCCGCGGUAAUACAGAGGUGGCGAGCGUUGUUCGGAUUUACUGGGCGUAAAGGGUGCGUAGGUGGUUUCGUGUGUCGGGUGUGAAAUCCCACUGCUCAACGGUGGAACGUCAUCCGAAACUGCGAGACUAGAGUGCAGGAAGGGAGAGCGGAAUUCUCGGUGUAGCGGUGAAAUGCGUUGAUAUCGAGAAGAACACCGGCGGCGAAGGCGGCUCUCUGGAAUGCAACUGACACUGAGGCACGAAAGCUGGGGGAGCAAACAGGAUUAGAAACCCCGGUAGUCC